This is a long non-coding RNA of Hipposideros armiger (great roundleaf bat), 780 nucleotides long. RefSeq lists it as uncharacterized. The transcript has 3 exons. The record is from RefSeq and is a predicted model, not a curated record. Lineage: Eukaryota; Metazoa; Chordata; Mammalia; Chiroptera; Hipposideridae.
GUACCCACCCACUCAGAUGCCGCCUAUGCCUUACAGGUUACGCUGAGCACAGGGAUGAGACGAGCAACGCUGUGGAGGGCCUGGCGAGAUGCCCAUCACGUCUCCCCUCCUUCCCUCCCCUUUCCUCCCUGGCCCCGCAGUUCUGCGCAGGGAGAGAGGGCACAGGGAUGCUGCCCCAGAGCAGGUGCGAAUCUCCUGGAAGACAGGGACCAGUUCAACAUACAUUAAUUCAUUCAACAGAUUCAACUCAAUCCCAAACAAAAUCCCAGCAAGCAUUUUUGUAGAAAUUGACAAGCUGAGUCUAAGAUUUGUAUGGAAACACAGAGGACUCAGAAUAGACAAAACAGCUCUGAAAAAAGAACACAGUUGGAUCUGACUUCAAGGCUUACUAUAAAUCUUCUAGAAGAAAAUGAGAAAAUCUUUGUGAUCGUAGGUUAGGCAAAGAUUUUUUUAUUUUUUUUAAGAGAAGACACUAAAAGCAGGAUUCAUAAAAUUGGUAAAUAAGGCUUCAUCAAGAUUAAAAACGUCUGCUCUAUGAAAGGCACCAUUAAAAGAAGGAAAAGACAAGCAACAGACUGGGAUAAAUAUAUGUAACCCACGUGUCUGAUAAAGGAUUUAUAUGUAGUAUAAAGAAACUCUCAAAACUCAGCAGUAAGAAAAAAAACAACCCAUUAAAAACUGGGCAAAAGAUUUGAACAGACAUUUCACCAAAGAUUUACUGAUGGUGAAUAACCACAUGAAAUGAUGCUAACAUUAAAGUCACUGGGGAAAUGAGAAUUA